This 1141-nucleotide ribosomal RNA is filed under the name uncultured Pezizomycotina. RNAcentral's name for it is "eukaryotic LSU rRNA". The stretch from base 522 to 1141 matches the Rfam family "Eukaryotic large subunit ribosomal RNA", at positions 1 to 649 of the family's 3401-position model. The record is from RNAcentral. Lineage: Eukaryota; Fungi; Ascomycota.
AAGUCGUAACAAGGUUUCCGUAGGUGAACCUGCGGAAGGAUCAUUAUCGAGUACCGAGGCCCCUGUGCCUCUGCUCCCACCCUAUGUUGACCUGCAACGUUGCUUUGGCGGGCCGGCGGGUACACCCGCCGCCGGGCCGCGCCUGGAGAGCGCCCGCCAGAGGACCACGCGAAACUCUUUGCAACUUUGAGCGUCUGAGCACUUUUGAGAAUUGACCAAAACUUUCAACAACGGAUCUCUUGGUUCUGGCAUCGAUGAAGAACGCAGCGAAAUGCGAUAAGUAAUGUGAAUUGCAGAAUUCAGUGAAUCAUCGAAUCUUUGAACGCACAUUGCGCCCCUCGGCACUCCGGGGGGCAUGCCUGUCCGAGCGUCAUUGAAGACUAUCAAGCCCGGCUUGGUCUUGGGCGCGGUCCUGGGACCCGCCCGCAACCCGUCGGCGGUGCCGGUUCGGCCCUGAGCGUAGCAGAGAUACUCGCUCCGGGGCCGCGGCGGCGCCCGCCAGCAAGUUUUUACCUACGGUUUGACCUCGGAUCAGGUAGGGAUACCCGCUGAACUUAAGCAUAUCAAUAAGCGGAGGAAAAGAAACCAACAGGGAUUGCCUCAGUAACGGCGAGUGAAGCGGCAACAGCUCAAAUUUGAAAUCUGGCUCCCGCCCGAGUUGUAAUUUGCAGAGGAUGCUUCGGUGCAGUCCCCGGCCCAAGUCCCUUGGAACAGGGCGCCGCAGAGGGUGAGAGCCCCCCACGCGGCCGGGUGCCUGCUCCGGUGAAGCUCCUUCGACGAGUCGAGUUGUUUGGGAAUGCAGCUCUAACUGGGAGGUAAAUUUCUCCUAAGGCUAAAUACCGGCCAGAGACCGAUAGCGCACAAGUAGAGUGAUCGAAAGAUGAAAAGCACUUUGAAAAGAGAGUUAAAAAGUACGUGAAAUUGUUGAAAGGGAAGCGUUUGCGGCCAGACUUGGCGGCGGUUGCUCAGCCGGUCAUUGCCCGGUGCACUCUUCCGCCGACAGGCCAGCGUCGGUUCGGGCGGUCGGAUAAAGGCGUCGGGAACGUGGCUCUUCGGAGUGUUAUAGCCCUUCGCACAAUGCGGCCCGCCCGGACCGAGGUACGCGUCUUCACGGACGCUGGCGUAAUGGCCGCCAACGGCC